AGUCAAUAUUUUGUUAAUGUUAAUUUUAUAAUGGAUUUAUUCACAAUGAUAAUUUGUUAAUGUAUAUCUUUGUACUCCUAGUUGGCAGUGUUUUCAAUAUGGAUCAUUUUGGGGCUUGCUCUAUUAUGAUUGAUGUAUAGUUGGCAUAUUGAGAGGUGAAGCCAAGUAGACAUGGUUGUACAAAAAGGCAUAGGUCAUUCUAUUAACAACGUCACUACUGCUCUUGAUGAAGGACACCCACAAACAAUUCAAAAUAUAUCAUCAAAAGAAUUUUGAGAUUGAGCAUCUAGAAAGUGAGUUACAACCAUCCUUUUGCACUUGGAAGAAAAAUGAUGUAAAACUAGAUGUAGUGAAGGUUAUGAACAAUUCAAAGUUGAAGAAGAAGUUGUAAAAUUGUUGGUUUUAGUUGUUGAUUAUGUAUGAUGUUUAUGGAUAAAUUGUAAUAGUGAAAAAGGAAGACCAUAUUUGAUACUUUUUGUCAA
This is a long non-coding RNA of Vitis riparia (riverbank grape), 482 nucleotides long. RefSeq lists it as uncharacterized. The record is from RefSeq and is a predicted model, not a curated record. NCBI's taxonomy places the organism in Eukaryota, Viridiplantae, Streptophyta, Magnoliopsida, Vitales, Vitaceae. The transcript is spliced from 3 exons.